GCAGGUAGCCCCAGUUUCGGCCCUGGCACCUGGGGGGAACUCAGGUGAGAGGUGUCCUGGGGUGGAGAUGGAGGCAGAUUGGGGCGUCUGCCUGUACAUUCACUCUCCAAUGUUCUCCAGGCAAUCCGAUUUACGACUUUUUUCUGGGACGAGAGCUCAACCCUCGUAUCUGUUUCUUCGACUUCAAAUAUUUCUGUGAACUGCGACCCGGCCUCAUCGGCUGGGUCCUCAUCAACCUGGCCCUGUUGAUGAAGGAGGCAGAGCUUCAGGGCAGUCCCUCACUGGCCAUGUGGCUGGUCAAUGGCUUCCAGUUGCUCUACGUGGGUGAUGCCCUCUGGCACGAGGUGAGGCUGGACUGGACGAGGGUGGGUGUCUGAGGGCUGCAUAGGGACUAAGCCAGUGUGUCUGGGUCUUGUCCCUGCAGGAGGCCAUCCUCACCACCAUGGAUAUCACACAUGACGGGUUUGGCUUCAUGCUGGCGUUUGGGGACAUAGCCUGGGUGCCCUUCACCUACAGUCUGCAGGCCCAGUUCCUGCUGCACCACCCGCAGCCCCUGGGGUUGCCCAUGGCCUCUGUCAUCUGCCUCAUCAAUGCUAUUGGUUACUACAUCUUCCGUGGGGCGAAUUCCCAGAAAAACACUUUCCGAAAGAAUCCUUCUGACCCCAGAGUGGCUGGUGAGCUGGGUCUCUAGGGCCAUGGGUGAGGUGGGGCAGCUG
This 716-nucleotide small RNA is filed under the name Pan troglodytes (chimpanzee). RNAcentral describes it as "retained intron". The record is from RNAcentral. Lineage: Eukaryota; Metazoa; Chordata; Mammalia; Primates; Hominidae.